CCUACGGGAGGCAGCAGUGGGGAAUAUUGCACAAUGGGGGAAACCCUGAUGCAGCGACGCCGCGUGAGUGAAGAAGUAAUUCGUUAUGUAAAGCUCUAUCAGCAGGGAAGAAAAGGAUGGUACCUGAGUAAGAAGCCCCGGCUAACUACGUGCCAGCAGCCGCGGUAAGACGUAGGGGGCAAGCGUUAUCCGGAUUUACUGGGUGUAAAGGGAGCGUAGACGGCAGUGCAAGUCUGUAGUGAAAGGCGGGGGCUCAACCCCCGGACUGCUCUGGAAACUGUACGGCUGGAGUGCAGGAGAGGUAAGUGGAAUUCCUAGUGUAGCGGUGAAAUGCGUAGAUAUUAGGAAGAACACCAGUGGCGAAGGCGGCUUACUGGACUGUAACUGACGUUGAGGCUCGAAAGCGUGGGGAGCAAACAGGAUUAGAUACCCUAGUAGUC
This 440-nucleotide ribosomal RNA is filed under the name uncultured bacterium. Its description in RNAcentral is "partial 16S ribosomal RNA". It matches the Rfam family "Bacterial small subunit ribosomal RNA", at positions 338 to 795 of the family's 1533-position model. The record is from RNAcentral.